Chroicocephalus ridibundus (black-headed gull) is the source of this 812-nucleotide long non-coding RNA. RefSeq lists it as uncharacterized. NCBI's taxonomy places the organism in Eukaryota, Metazoa, Chordata, Aves, Charadriiformes, Laridae. The record is from RefSeq and is a predicted model, not a curated record. The transcript is spliced from 3 exons.
UGGAGGCAUUCCCCCCCUUAUUUCCUUUCUGUUUUCCUGCUGUGGCACUGUGCAACGCAGAACCCGUGAUAAAGAGGACAGCGUGGGUAUGAGGGAGAGGUGCAGAAAUCAGGAGAGGCAAACCACUCCAAGGACUGCCAAGCUGAGAUUUGAAGCAAAGGGGAGGACGUGUGGUAUGUCUGUGAGAGGCUGCAUGGCGCAGGGCAGUCCGAACUUACAAGCUCCAUCCAAUUUCCUUUCAAGAGCCUAGUAAAAGUGGUUUGGCGGGAGCAACAGGCAAGAGGACUGUCCUGAUAUGUGAAACUAGUGAUCAUGAAUCCCUUCCUCCUAAGGAGUAUCAGAUAAUAAAACUAUCUGAGAAGAGAUGCUUCGCUCAGUAAUUUUUCUCCUUUCCUCCAUGAAUUCAGUUUUGCCAAUUAGAGUUGGUUACAAAGUUUUAAGAUGGAGGCGUCUUCCCACACACUUAUUAUAAGACUGGUCAAAUUAUCCUCUCUGAGCUGCUGAUACCCCAGGCUAUUCUACUGGAAUUGCGCUUUUCAACAUCAAGGGAAGAAAGAGGCAUCUGUCAUACACAUUGUGCUGAAAACGACAUACAUCUAUAGACUCCUUAUUCAGAGCACUGACUUCUUUGUCCCCAUGAUCAUUAUCACAGUGCUCUGCCUGAUAAUUGACUGCCAUCUCACCAAGGGGCAGCUGUCUUUGAGGCAGCUAGACAGAAGCAGAGGAAGAUAUGAAGAUAUCAAGCUCAACAGAAAUACCCAACAGGGGAACAGCAGAAGGCAAAAAAGAUCAACAAAAUGUUGUGUAAGCAG